AUGGCGGCCAUUGCCACAUGGAGUUGCAGUUUUUGCAUGCUGCUCUGUGUGGCCAUGGUGAAAAUAGCUCUGACUACUUUUGCUAUCUCUCACCUCAUGCUUUUGGCUUCCCUUCCCCCUCUCACUAGUGCAUCUUUGAUAGAUGGCACUUCUCUCUUGGUAUAUCCUAUCUUUGGAAGCUACCUUUCUCUUUCUUUCUCUGUGCUUUUUAAGUUCUGUAAUUCCUUACUGCUUGAGUCUCAAUUCCUCUCCGUUCUGCAUAUCUCUCUAUUCUCUCUGUCUAUCCCUCUCAAUUUCUUCUCUCUAUUGCUCUGUUUUAUAAAUAGUGACUUUCUAAGUCUCUGUUUUAUGAGCAGAAUAUCCUAUGUUCCUCUCUUUUCAGUCUCUAUUCUGUGA
Non-coding RNA from Vicia faba (fava bean), 396 nucleotides. The record is from the annotation of a GenBank genome assembly. Lineage: Eukaryota; Viridiplantae; Streptophyta; Magnoliopsida; Fabales; Fabaceae.